GCAAACCUCUUCUCCUAGCCAGGAAGUUUCAAAGAUUAAUGAGACCUCCAGCGGGGUCGUCGAAGAGGUGCCGAUGCCAUCUACCGCCCCUGGUCCCUCCAACUCGCCACGCGUGACGGAUCAUUCGUCUGACCAGCAUACUGCAAAGCCGAUUGUUACCACCUCGGCUUCCCUUCCUUUCUUGGGAGAGGGGUGCGAUCCUUCGAGCUUGCUGACAUUCGACCCCGAUUCCAUCGAGCCAGCCGCCCCUAAAACAGGUGAAGAGCCAAAU
Lolium rigidum is the source of this 271-nucleotide long non-coding RNA. RefSeq lists it as uncharacterized. The transcript has 3 exons. The record is from RefSeq and is a predicted model, not a curated record. NCBI's taxonomy places the organism in Eukaryota, Viridiplantae, Streptophyta, Magnoliopsida, Poales, Poaceae.